GAUGAACGCUGGCGGCGUGCUUAACACAUGCAAGUCGAACGGAGCACCCCUGAAGGAGUUUUCGGACAACUGAAGGGAAUGCUUAGUGGCGGACGGGUGAGUAACGCGUGAGUAACCUGCCUUGGAGUGGGGAAUAACAGCUGGAAACAGCUGCUAAUACCGCAUAAUAUGUCUGUGUCGCAUGGCACUGGACAUCAAAGAUUUAUCGCUCUGAGAUGGACUCGCGUCUGAUUAGCUAGUUGGUGGGGCAACGGCCCACCAAGGCGACGAUCAGUAGCCGGACUGAGAGGUUGGCCGGCCACAUUGGGACUGAGACACGGCCCAG
This 325-nucleotide ribosomal RNA is filed under the name uncultured bacterium. RNAcentral's name for it is "bacterial SSU rRNA". It matches the Rfam family "Bacterial small subunit ribosomal RNA", at positions 28 to 334 of the family's 1533-position model. The record is from RNAcentral.